Molecule: ribosomal RNA, 486 nt
Filed under: Triticum aestivum (bread wheat)
Lineage: Eukaryota; Viridiplantae; Streptophyta; Magnoliopsida; Poales; Poaceae
Description: partial small subunit ribosomal RNA
Source: RNAcentral
AUGGCUGUUUAUUUCUUCAACUCCGACGGAUUGAUCCCACGCCGAUACAAUGCAAGAAUAAUUCGUACUGAUGAGGGUCGGGAUCUUGCUUGGCUGCGGGCUCAAGAUGUCUAUGAACCAGUGACUUGUCUGAGGUUCUUCGACCCACCAUAUGCUUCUGGGUGGAAUGUUGUUGCGCUGGCUUAUACCACAUUGGAUGGCUCUUCUGCUACUAUUCUAGAGCCAGGGACGUAUUCUGGUCAAAUAACCAAUGAACCAGAUGAAGUGUCGCUUACCUGCAGUUGUACAUCUAAGCAAGGUGCAUCAGGUUCACCUCUUAUUUUGCCACGGAUAGACAGGGUAGUUGGGGUGCUUGCCGGAGCUUCACAUGCAUCGGUAUACGCUGUUCCUGUCACACAUAUAAGGGAGUUCUUAAUAGAGUGGCUUGGUGGAGACGAAGACCUGGACUUGAACACUGGACGGAAACUUGGGGAGGAAGAACCAUGA